Molecule: ribosomal RNA, 406 nt
Filed under: uncultured bacterium
Lineage: Bacteria
Description: partial 16S ribosomal RNA
Rfam family: Bacterial small subunit ribosomal RNA
Source: RNAcentral
AUUGAACGCUGGCGGCAGGCCUAACACCUGCAAGUCUGGCGAGCGGCGGACGGGUGAGUAAUGUAUGAGGAUCUGCCUGAUGGCGGGGGAUAACUACUGGAAACGGUAGCUAAUACCGCAAAACAUCAGAUGACCCCCUAUGGGCUGAGCUACUCGGUAAGGUAACGGGUUACCUAGGCGACGAUCUCUAGCUGGUCUGAGAGGUUGAGCAGACAGACUGGGACUGAGACACGGCCCAGACUCCUACGGGAGGCAGCAGUGGUGUAUAGUGCGCAAGGGGCGCAAGCCUGAGUCAGCCCUGCCGCGGGUAUGAAGAAGGCCUUCGGGUUGUAAAGUACUUGCCGGCGGGAGGCGUGACCGACCGAAGAAGCCCCGGCUAACUCCGUGCCAGCAGCCGCGGUAAUAC